CAAAAAAAAAAUAAAAUAAAAUUAGUAUUAGCAUAAUAUAUCAUUAUUUCUAUCCUUUUACUUUUGUCCUAUUCAUGUCUUUAUAUUUAGGUGAGAUUUUUAUGGGCAAGAUGUAGGUGAUUCUUGCCUUUUUUAUCCAAUCUUACAUUUCCUGUCUUUUAAUUGAGUGUUUAGACCAUUUACAUUCAAUAUGACUUUUGAUAUGGCCAAGUUUAAAUCUACCAUCUUGCUAAAUGUUUUCUAUUAGUUCAUACAUUUAUUCUUUGUUCCAUUUUUUUCUUUUUGGUUCCCAUGUGUUGUUUUGGAUCUACUGAAUAUUUUUAGGAUGCCAUUUUUAUCUCAUUUGUUAACUGAUUAGCUACACCUAUGUUACUUUAGAGGCUGCUUUAGAAUGUAUAGCAUAUAUUUGUAACUUAUCCAAGUCUACACAUUUAGGAUGUAUUAUAUCACUUCAUGUACAGUGUAAGAACCUUACAACAUUUUUCUCUUUAUCACUGAUUAUAAGCGACUUAAUUAGGAGGUGCCGUGGGUCUUGCUUUUUUUUAAGCAAGGAAGGCUACAGGAAUUUAGAGGAAAUUUUGCCCCACUUUUGACACAAAAAUCUUGUAUCACUUUACCUGCAAAUUAUGAGAUUUUCCAAUCUGGCUAAUGGGAACAGAAAUCACUCCCAGCCCUGCAUAAGCUCCAGCGAAUGUUCCCUCUGAUCUUUUUAAGUGGCUCUUUCCUGGGCCUUGGGUAGUUUCCCAUGUGCUCAGCUGAAGGCUUGCAGGAUGUCCUCUGUAGAUCUCUAGAAUGUUCUCUCUCCGUGUACAGCUCUUUCCUCUCGGGGACUCUGCCCUGUGAGUUCUAGCCACCUUGGCCUCCUCAACCUCCCACCUCUAUCUCCUCCACUCAUGAAGACUGCUGCACUCCACCUGGAUUUCCCCUUCCUUCAAUAUGUACCAGCGACGAGCUCUGACAAUUGCAGGGCUCACUUCAUUUAUUUCCCAUCUUUCAGGGAUAACUAUCCUUAACUGCCUGUUACCCAAUACCUUGAAAACCAUUACAUCGUAUCGG
This 1056-nucleotide long non-coding RNA is filed under the name Homo sapiens (human). RNAcentral's name for it is "HSALNT0243432". The record is from RNAcentral. Lineage: Eukaryota; Metazoa; Chordata; Mammalia; Primates; Hominidae.